This 499-nucleotide ribosomal RNA is filed under the name uncultured bacterium. Its description in RNAcentral is "partial 16S ribosomal RNA". It matches the Rfam family "Bacterial small subunit ribosomal RNA", at positions 899 to 1397 of the family's 1533-position model. The record is from RNAcentral.
ACUCAAAGGAAUAGACGGGGGCCCGCACAAGCGGUGGAGCAUGUGGUUUAAUUCGAUGCAACGCGAAGAACCUUACCUACUCUUGACAUCCUUCGAAGCCUGCAGAGAUGCGGGUGUGCCGAAAGGAACGGAGUGACAGGUGCUGCAUGGCUGUCGUCAGCUCGUGUCGUGAGAUGUUGGGUUAAGUCCCGUAACGAGCGCAACCCCUGUCCUUAGUUACCAACAGGUUAUGCUGGGGACUCUAAGGAGACCGCCGGUGACAAACCGGAGGAAGGUGGGGAUGACGUCAAGUCAUCAUGGCCUUUAUGAGUAGGGCCACACACGUGCUACAAUGGACGGUACAGAGGGUCGCCAACCCGCGAGGGGGAGCUAAUCUCAAAAAACCGUUCGUAGUCCGGAUUGAAGUCUGCAACUCGACUUCAUGAAGUUGGAAUCGCUAGUAAUCGCAAAUCAGAACGUUGCGGUGAAUACGUUCCCGGGCCUUGUACACACCGCCCGU